UACGUAGGGGCCAAGCGUUAUCCGGAUUUACUGGGCGUAAAGGGCACGCAGGCGGCCAUUUAAGUCUGGCGUGAAAUCUCCCGGCUUAACCGGGAGAGGUCGUUGGAAACUGAAUGGCUUGAGGCAGUGAGAGGGGUGUAGAAUUCCUGGUGUAGUGGUGGAAUGCGUAGAUAUCAGGAGGAAUACCAGUGGCGAAAGCGGCACCCUGGCACUGUUCUGACGCUCAUGUGCGAAAGCGUGGGGAGCGAACGGG
RNAcentral lists this ribosomal RNA (253 nucleotides) under uncultured bacterium. RNAcentral describes it as "partial 16S ribosomal RNA". It matches the Rfam family "Bacterial small subunit ribosomal RNA", at positions 524 to 776 of the family's 1533-position model. The record is from RNAcentral.